AAGGCUGAGGUGUGAUGACGAGGCACUACGGUGCUGAAGUAACAAAUGCCCUGCUUCCAGGAAAAGCCUCUAAGCAUCAGGUAACAUCAAAUCGUACCCCAAACCGACACAGGUGGUCAGGUAGAGAAUACCAAGGCGCUUGAGAGAACUCGGGUGAAGGAACUAGGCAAAAUGGUGCCGUAACUUCGGGAGAAGGCACGCUGGUGUGUAGGUGAAGUCCCUGCGGAUGGAGCUGAGACCAGUCGAAGAUACCAGCUGGCUGCAACUGUUUAUUAAAAACACAGCACUGUGCAAACACGAAAGUGGACGUAUACGGUGUGACGCCUGCCCGGUGCCGGAAGGUU
RNAcentral lists this ribosomal RNA (344 nucleotides) under Klebsiella pneumoniae. RNAcentral's name for it is "partial 23S ribosomal RNA". It matches the Rfam family "Bacterial large subunit ribosomal RNA", at positions 1552 to 1878 of the family's 2925-position model. The record is from RNAcentral. Lineage: Bacteria; Pseudomonadati; Pseudomonadota; Gammaproteobacteria; Enterobacterales; Enterobacteriaceae.